RNAcentral lists this ribosomal RNA (543 nucleotides) under Salmonella enterica. RNAcentral describes it as "partial 23S ribosomal RNA". It matches the Rfam family "Bacterial large subunit ribosomal RNA", at positions 711 to 1252 of the family's 2925-position model. Lineage: Bacteria; Pseudomonadati; Pseudomonadota; Gammaproteobacteria; Enterobacterales; Enterobacteriaceae. The record is from RNAcentral. RNAcentral also lists the same sequence under 3 other names.
AGACCCGAAACCCGGUGAUCUAGCCAUGGGCAGGUUGAAGGUUGGGUAACACUAACUGGAGGACCGAACCGACUAAUGUUGAAAAAUUAGCGGAUGACCUGUGGCUGGGGGUGAAAGGCCAAUCAAACCGGGAGAUAGCUGGUUCUCCCCGAAAGCUAUUUAGGUAGCGCCUCGUGAAUUCAUCUCCGGGGGUAGAGCACUGUUUCGGCUAGGGGGCCAUCCCGGCUUACCAACCCGAUGCAAACUGCGAAUACCGGAGAAUGUUAUCACGGGAGACACACGGCGGGUGCUAACGUCCGUCGUGAAGAGGGAAACAACCCAGACCGCCAGCUAAGGUCCCAAAGUCAUGGUUAAGUGGGAAACGAUGUGGGAAGGCCCAGACAGCCAGGAUGUUGGCUUAGAAGCAGCCAUCAUUUAAAGAAAGCGUAAUAGCUCACUGGUCGAGUCGGCCUGCGCGGAAGAUGUAACGGGGCUAAACCAUGCACCGAAGCUGCGGCAGCGACACUGUGUGUUGUUGGGUAGGGGAGCGUUCUGUAAGCCUGC